RNAcentral lists this ribosomal RNA (1302 nucleotides) under metagenome. RNAcentral's name for it is "bacterial LSU rRNA". It matches the Rfam family "Bacterial large subunit ribosomal RNA", at positions 1635 to 2925 of the family's 2925-position model. The record is from RNAcentral.
UACACGACCGUACCGCAAACCGACACUGGUGCGCGAGAUGAGUAUUCUAAGGCGCUUGAGAGAACUCAGGAGAAGGAACUCGGCAAAUUGACACCGUAACUUCGGAAGAAGGUGUGCCUUUAGUAGGUGAAGUCCCUCGCGGAUGGAGCCCAAUGAGGUUGCAAAAAAUCGGUGGCUGCGACUGUUUAUUAAAAACACUGCACUCUGCAAACACGAAAGUGGACGUAUAGGGUGUGACGCCUGCCCGGUGCUGGAAGAUUAAAUGAUGGGGUGCAAGCUCUUGAUUGAAGUCCCAGUAAACGGCGGCCGUAACUAUAACGGUCCUAAGGUAGCGAAAUUCCUUGUCGGGUAAGUUCCGACCUGCACGAAUGGCGUAACGAUGGCCACACUGUCUCCUCCUGAGACUCAGCGAAGUUGAAAUGUUUGUGAUGAUGCAAUCUCCCCGCGGAAAGACGGAAAGACCCCAUGAACCUUUACUGUAGCUUUGUAUUGGACUUUGAACAGAUCUGUGUAGGAUAGGUGGGAGGCUUUGAAGCAGGGUCGCUAGAUCUUGUGGAGCCAACGUUGAAAUACCACCCUGGUGUGUUUGAGGUUCUAACCUAGGUCCAUUAUCUGGAUCGGGGACAGUGCAUGGUAGGCAGUUUGACUGGGGCGGUCUCCUCCCAAAGCGUAACGGAGGAGCUCGAAGGUACGCUAGUUACGGUCGGACAUCGUGACGAUAGUGCAAUGGCAUAAGCGUGCUUAACUGCGAGACUGACAAGUCGAGCAGAUGCGAAAGCAGGACAUAGUGAUCCGGUGGUUCUGUAUGGAAGGGCCAUCGCUCAACGGAUAAAAGGUACUCUGGGGAUAACAGGCUGAUACCGCCCAAGAGUUCAUAUCGACGGCGGUGUUUGGCACCUCGAUGUCGGCUCAUCUCAUCCUGGGGCUGUAGCCGGUCCCAAGGGUAUGGCUGUUCGCCAUUUAAAGAGGUACGUGAGCUGGGUUUAAAACGUCGUGAGACAGUUUGGUCCCUAUCUUCCGUGGGCGCUGCAGAUUUGAGGAAGCCUGCUCCUAGUACGAGAGGACCGGAGUGGACACACCUCUGGUGUAUCGGUUGUCACGCCAGUGGCAUUGCCGAGUAGCUAAGUGUGGAAGAGAUAACCGCUGAAAGCAUCUAAGCGGGAAACUCGUUUCAAGAUGAGAUCUGCCGGGGCCUUGAGCCCCCUGAAGAGUCGUUCAAGACCAGGACGUUAAUAGGCAGGGUGUGGAAGCGCAGUAAUGCGUUAAGCUAACCUGUACUAAUUGCUCGUGCGACUUGACCGC